Molecule: RNA transcript, 1836 nt
Organism: Aedes aegypti (yellow fever mosquito)
Lineage: Eukaryota; Metazoa; Arthropoda; Insecta; Diptera; Culicidae
Exons: 4
Source: RefSeq, a predicted model, not a curated record
GUCCUCGCCGCCAAAGUCGCAGUUGUCGCAGCGCGCGCGAUUCAGAGCUCGUUGAGCAGGCAAGUAAUUCACACGUCUUCUGCAUAUUGCCAACGCAAAACCGUUGGUUCUGUUAGCUCCAGUAAAAACUUUCAAGUGGAACAAGUGAGUGCAACAAAAAAAAGUUGAUUGGCUGACUGUAUUACCAUAUAUCGGAGAACUGGUGAUCAAGAAUUUCAGAGUGCAAUCUAUAGAACGAGUUGAACUGCUGCUGCUGCUGGUGGAGCAGUUCUUGUUUGUCGCAUAACAGACAGAUUAACAGUGCGCGGAGGUUGUUAUUGAGUGGCGCCAGUUCAGAAGGGCGUUCAGAAAAUUCCUGUGAGUAGUUACAACAUUCGGUGGACUUCGAUGACUUGUGUAUUGAGAGGUGAUUUUCUGGAGAAAGUGCAACAACCCAAACAAACGUCCAUGAUGGAUGCGUUGAUGCGAAGAAACAGUUUCAACCUUUCGUUUAGCAAGCUGUGGCAUCCCGGCGCGGAGAAGACCCGCUCAAAAAGUGGCUCCUUUGGGAGCUCGGUGGCCAUCCAGAAGCUGCGCGAGUCCAAAUGGUUCGACCGGGGCGAGGAGCGCAUCUUCUGUGCGGUGAUCGAAGCCGGUUUCAUCGUCGAACUGCGUCAUCCAGAAACCGGCGAAAGCUGGUUCGGCGUAACGGCGUUCGAGCUGAAGAAAUUAACCAAACCAACGGCCGAAAACAUCAAGAUCUACUCGGUGAAACUGUCCGACAGCCACAAGCGGUUGAAGGUCUACAACAGUUCCCUGGACCAGCUGUGGCAGCAGGGUUACCAAAUCCGUAUCAACAACCUCUGUGACAAAGCCAAGAAGGCACACAACGAGAAGGACAUCAUGGCUCAGAUCAAGUACGCCACCAAAACCAAGAUGGCCUUCCACAACAGUCAGCACUUUGCCGAAUUCUGCCGGUACGGUGACCGACCGCAGGACAACCGGAAACGACAAGUAAGUGUACUGUUGAAACGGCUCGAAGAUGCACUGAAUGGAUCGCAGACGUACUUUUGAGAACCGCGCACAGGCUCCGAACUCGCGGAAACACACACACAGACAAAUUGAGAGAUCUCUGAAUGCGCCAAGUGGGGUGGAACAAACAUGGGAGCCACCAUCAUCUACUUUGCCAUGCAGUCGCAGAAGCAGAAGGCCAAUUCCCGAUGAGCCGGAAGCUGCAUUUGCAUGUUGUGAUGGGAAAGCACGCGCGCGAGAGAGAAAUAGAGAGUACUAGUCCUCGUUUGCUGGAGGCCAAGCCUCCCCGAAUCGAGCCCUUAAAGAAAAGACGUGACUGUAUUAUAUUUUGAGUAUAAAAAUAGUUUUUUUUUUAUGAGAUUAAGUCAUUCUACUGAUCGUACCGGUUGGGUACACUAAGUGUAAACUGUUAUAAAAUAUAUUGCUAGAGAUAAGAAUAGCACAAUAUGCGUCGUUAGAUUAACUGUACGUUGAUGUUAGAUAUAGGAGUCCAUUUCUUGGAGUAAACAUUGUAAAUAUUUUUGUAAAAUAUUGGAUCCUAAAUUUUUAUGGGAAAUACACGCACCAUCAAUAUACAUCUGUCAUCAGGAAAUCACCUCGUCGUCCGGUACGUGAUCGGAUUCGACAGCUUUCGGGAUGUGGAUGGAUGCUUUGCGGCACUCUGUCAAGUCCGCCGUAGACAGUAAAAUGUGAAAUAUUUUCGCUAAUUUUAGACGACAGCUUUCUGUGCCAAAUUUUUUUACGUACGUAAGAAAAGAUCUAGCCAGUAAGAUGAAUCCAACACACUAAUAAAGAAGACAUGAAUUAUUACCAACAAACAGCCCA